GGAAGGACAGCACAGCCUACAGCCGUGCUCAGGAAGUUUCUGGAUCCUAGGCUCAUCUCCACAGAGGAGAACACGCAGGCACAGAGACCAUGGGGCCCCUCUCAGCCCCUCCCUGCACACAGCGCAUCACCUGGAAGGGGCUCCUGCUCACAGCAUCACUUUUAAACUUCUGGAACCUGCCUACCACUGCCCAAGUCACGAUUGAAGCCCUGCCACCCAAAGUGUCUGAGGGGAAGGAUGUUCUUCUACUUGUCCACAAUUUGCCCCAGAAUCUAGCUGGCUACAUCUGGUACAAAGGACAACUGAUGGACCUCUACCAUUACAUUACAUCAUAUGUAGUAGACGGUCAAAUAAAUAUAUAUGGGCCUGCAUACACUGGACGAGAAACAGUAUAUUCCAAUGCAUCCCUGCUGAUCCAGAAUGUCACCCGGGAGGAUGCAGGAUCCUACACCUUACACAUCAUAAAGCGAGGUGAUAGGACUAGAGGAGUAACUGGAUAUUUCACCUUCAACUUAUACCUGAAGCUGCCCAAGCCUUACAUCACCAUCAACAACUCAAAACCCAGGGAGAAUAAGGAUGUCUUAGCCUUCACCUGUGAACCUAAGAGUGAGAACUACACCUACACCUGGUGGCUAAAUGGUCAGAGCCUCCCGGUCAGUCCCAGGGUAAAGCGACCCAUUGAAAACAGGAUCCUCAUUCUACCCAGUGUCACGAGAAAUGAAACAGGACCCUAUGAAUGUGAAAUACGGGAUGGAGAUGGUGGCAUGCGCAGUGACCCAGUCACCCUGAAUGUCCUCUGUGAGUAUCUUUUGUUCCUCUGUGGGCCAGGACACCAGCUUAAAUCUAAAUGACCACAAGCCAGUCCUCUCAGUCUUUCUCCGGUCCAAGUACAGACACCUUUACUUCUGGACAUCCGAGCUGGCCAUGACUCCCUGCCCUGGGAAAUCCUGGGUAGGCACAGCCUUAACCAAGAAUAUAAGGGGAGGGGACGCUCUUGUCAUGGGA
Molecule: small RNA, 1005 nt
Filed under: Pan troglodytes (chimpanzee)
Lineage: Eukaryota; Metazoa; Chordata; Mammalia; Primates; Hominidae
Description: retained intron
Source: RNAcentral